AAUAAAUCAAUUUUUCAUUUUUUAUCUUCAAUUUUUUACUUUUCAUCUUAUUCAAAUUUUUUUGCGAUUGAUAUUUUUGUUUUUAUUAGAUGAUAAAUCAUGAAUAGUACUUUAUAUGUGACUAAUUUUUUCUAAUUUCAUGAAAAUUUUUCAAAUAAAACGGAUGAUCAAAUGUUAGACACGAAAACCGAAG
Molecule: microRNA precursor, 193 nt
Filed under: Oryza brachyantha (malo sina)
Lineage: Eukaryota; Viridiplantae; Streptophyta; Magnoliopsida; Poales; Poaceae
Description: MIR812 microRNA precursor family
Rfam family: MIR812 microRNA precursor family
Source: Rfam by way of RNAcentral